UUUUUUUUUUUUUAAUUUUGGAAUGAGUUUAAGCUCAAUAAAUCCUGCAAAUAUACAUACACAAAAGAUUUUUUCUAUGUGUAAUUUUUAAAUACAGGAAGGAAGGUCUGAGAUGCUGCCAAUAAAGAAAAAAGAAACAAAAAAAAAAAAAAAAUAAAAUAAUAAAACAAUAAAUAAUUUAAAUUAGAGUUUUUAAAACUCUUUUUUAUUUUAUUUAUUGUUUGUUUUAUUUUUUUUAUUUUGUUUUUUUUAUUCUUUAUUUUUUUUUUUGAGAAAAAAAAUAUUAAAAAGAUAUUAAUUAGCUACCAGAAAUCUAAAUCAUGUAACUCUAUAUGAGUUAUAUGAUUUUGAAAAAGCUAAUAAGCAAGUAUACAUAGGUGAGUUCAAUUUUUGAGGUUUUUCGCAUAAUUCUAUAAAUGUGAAUAUAUAUAUAUAUUCAUUUAGAAUUGGUAGAAAAAUAACUAAAUUCAGACUACUCGUAAAUUCA
Non-coding RNA from Hepatocystis sp. ex Piliocolobus tephrosceles, 487 nucleotides. Lineage: Eukaryota; Apicomplexa; Aconoidasida; Haemosporida; Plasmodiidae. The record is from the annotation of a GenBank genome assembly.